This 399-nucleotide ribosomal RNA is filed under the name uncultured Edaphobacter sp. RNAcentral describes it as "bacterial SSU rRNA". It matches the Rfam family "Bacterial small subunit ribosomal RNA", at positions 355 to 775 of the family's 1533-position model. Lineage: Bacteria; Pseudomonadati; Acidobacteriota; Terriglobia; Terriglobales; Acidobacteriaceae. The record is from RNAcentral.
UGGGGAAUUUUGCGCAAUGGGGGAAACCCUGACGCAGCAACGCCGCGUGGAGGAUGAAAUCCCUUGGGAUGUAAACUCCUUUCGAUCGGGACGAUUAUGACGGUACCGGAAGAAGAAGCCCCGGCUAACUUCGUGCCAGCAGCCGCGGUAAUACGAGGGGGCAAGCGUGUCGGAUUAUUGGGCGUAAGGGCGCGUAGGCGGUUUGACAAGUCUGAUGUGAAAUCUCUGGGCUCAACCCAGAGUCUGCAUUAGAAACUGUCGAGCUUGAGUAUGGGAGAGGUGAGUGGAAUUUCCGGUAUAGCGGUGAAAUGCGUAGAUAUCGGAAGGAACACCUGUGGCGAAAGCGGCUCACUGGACCAUUAACUGACGCUGAGGCGCGAAAGCUAGGGGAGCAAAACA